GUAUGUGAUCAUACCAGCACUAAAGCACCGGAUCCCAUCAGAACUCCGAAGUUAAGCGUGCUUAGGCGAGAUUAGUACUAGGAUGGGUGACCUCUUGGCAAGUCCUCGUGUUGCAUUCA
Triticum aestivum (bread wheat) is the source of this 119-nucleotide non-coding RNA. The record is from Rfam. NCBI's taxonomy places the organism in Eukaryota, Viridiplantae, Streptophyta, Magnoliopsida, Poales, Poaceae.